AUUGAACGCUGGCGGCAGGCCUAACACAUGCAAGUCGAACGGUAACAGGAAGCAGCUUGCUGCUUCGCUGACGAGUGGCGGACGGGUGAGUAAUGUCUGGGAAGCUGCCUGAUGGAGGGGGAUAACUACUGGAAACGGUAGCUAAUACCGCAUAAUGUCGCAAGACCAAAGAGGGGGACCUUCUGGCCUCUUGCCAUCGGAUGUGCCCAGAUGGGAUUAGCUUGUUGGGGGGGUAACGGCUCCCCAAGGCGACGAUCCCUAGCUGGUCUGAGGGGAGGAACAGGCACUGAGAGAGUGAGACGCGGUACAGACACCUAGGGGAGGCAGAAGCGGGGAAUAUUGCAAAAAGGGGGCAAGCCUGAUGCAGCCAUGCAGCGUGUAUGAAGAAGGCCUGCGGGUUGUAAAGUACUUUCAGCGGGGAGGAAGGGAGUAAAGUUAAAACCUUUGCUCAUUGACGUUACCCGCAGAAGGAGCACCGGCUAACUCCGU
This 489-nucleotide ribosomal RNA is filed under the name uncultured bacterium. RNAcentral's name for it is "partial 16S ribosomal RNA". It matches the Rfam family "Bacterial small subunit ribosomal RNA", at positions 29 to 506 of the family's 1533-position model. The record is from RNAcentral.